Molecule: long non-coding RNA, 459 nt
Filed under: Volvox carteri
Lineage: Eukaryota; Viridiplantae; Chlorophyta; Chlorophyceae; Chlamydomonadales; Volvocaceae
Description: long non-coding RNA (VCAR_LNC002527)
Source: RNAcentral
ACAUGCUGACCGGCGGUCGUCACCAUCGUUCCCGCAGCAAGCAAGCAAGGUCUUCGUCAGUUUUCACACCGACGGCAUCCAUGCCAUGCCUCAACCCCCAGUUGCUCUUAGCAACGGCCGUCAAUGAUUGUCACAAGCCCAUGUGGCCAGAACGCUGACGCAGCCCAGCAGCCCAGCAACAGACGCAUCUACCAGCAUGCACCCGACGCGCACCUACCACUAGUAUCCAUCCAUCCAUCCAUACAUGCAACACCAGCAGUGGAUUGCCCAACUCAGCUUGGAACACAGCAUCUCACUGCACACAUACAUGUCAUACAUUAGUAAUGGUGUGGAAUUCAAGGUCGAGGGAUGACGAACAAGCAAGGAAGGAUGCAUGUACGGACCUCGCUCACCACCAAGGCCUGCCGAUGUUGACGCCGGUGGCAUUUUCUUUCUUGGCAUUCCGUGAGCAGAUCGAGC